Molecule: ribosomal RNA, 253 nt
Filed under: uncultured bacterium
Lineage: Bacteria
Description: partial 16S ribosomal RNA
Rfam family: Bacterial small subunit ribosomal RNA
Source: RNAcentral
UACGUAGGGUGCAAGCGUUAAUCGGAAUUACUGGGCGUAAAGCGUGCGCAGGCGGCUUUGCAAGACAGAUGUGAAAUCCCCGGGCUUAACCUGGGAACUGCAUUUGUGACUGCAUGGCUGGAGUGCGGCAGAGGGGGAUGGAAUUCCGCGUGUAGCAGUGAAAUGCGUAGAUAUGCGGAGGAACACCGAUGGCGAAGGCAGGUCUCUGGGCUGACACUGACGCUCAUGCACGAAAGCGUGGGGAGCAAACAGG